Molecule: ribosomal RNA, 1240 nt
Filed under: human gut metagenome
Description: bacterial LSU rRNA
Rfam family: Bacterial large subunit ribosomal RNA
Source: RNAcentral
GUUGGCUCAGAAGCAGCCACUCAUUCAAAGAGUGCGUAAUAGCUCACUGGUCGAGUGAUUUUGCGCCGAAAAUUUAACGGGGCUAAACUGUACACCGAAGCUUGGGAAUAUACCUCUGGUAUGUUGGUAGGAGAGCGUCGUAUGCGGGGUGAAGUCGUAGCGAAAGCGGCGGUGGACUGCAUAGGAGUGAGAAUGCCGGAAUGAGUAGCGAGAAUUAUGUGAGAAUCAUAAUGGCCGAAAGACUAAGGUUUUAGAAGGAAGGUUCGUCCGCUUCUAGUUAGCCGGGAGCUAAGGCGAGGCCGAAAGGCGUAGUCGAUGCACAUACGGUUGAGAUUCCGUAGCCACCUUAAAUUUAAACUAAGGGACACAUUGAAAGGGAAUAACCCAGGCGUUGGUUGACCUGGGCGUAAGGGAACGAAAAUAAGUAGUGAAGUAUUCUUGGACAGUGGCGAGAAAAGCUUAGUGUAUAUUAUUAGGGUGCCCGUACUGCAAACCGACACAGGUAGUCAGGAAGAGAAUUCUAAGGCCAUCGGGAGAAGCGUUGUUAAGGAACUCGGCAAAUUGACCCCGUAACUUCGGAAUAAGGGGUGCUCACGCGAGUGAGCCGCAGUGAAUAGGUCCAGGCAACUGUUUAUCAAAAACACAGCUCUCUGCUAAAUCGUAAGAUGACGUAUAGGGGGUGACACCUGCCCGGUGCUGGAAGGUUAAGAGGAGGAGUGCAAGCCCCGAAUCGAAGCCCCAGUAAACGGCGGCCGUAACUAUAACGGUCCUAAGGUAGCGAAAUUCCUUGUCGGGUAAGUUCCGACCCGCACGAAUGGUGUAAUGAUCUGGACACUGUCUCAACAACGCACCCGGCGAAAUUGUAGUACCGGUGAAGAUGCCGGUUACCCGCGGCAAGACGGGAAGACCCCAUGGAGCUUUACUGUAACUUAAUAUUGGGUCUCGGUACUUUAUGUACAGGAUAGGCGGGAGACUUGGAAACUAGCACGCCAGUGUUAGCGGAGUCAUCCUUGGGAUACCGCUCUUAAGGUAUUGAGAUUCUAACCUGCAGCCUUGAAUCAGGUUGGGGGACAUUGUUAGGUGGGCAGUUUGACUGGGGCGGUCGCCUCCAAAAGAGUAACGGAGGCGUUCAAAGGUUGGCUCAGCAUGGACGGAAACCAUGCUUUAGAGUAUAAACGCAUAAGCCAGCCUAACUGCGAGACUGACGGGUCGAGCAGUAACGAAAGUUGGAGUUAGUGAU